UCGACGAAGGCAAGUCUGAAGGGAGCCGACGAUGCGAUACUUGUUGCAAUAGAAGAGGCACGAUCGGGGGUGUUCCAGCCCAACAGAGAGAACGACGAGCUUAUGCGUGCCCUGGGAAAUCCUGAACACCCGGGAAGAACACGAGGCAAGGGUGCUAUUCCGUGGUAUGAGGGGUUUUCAGACUGGAACACCGACUACAGAACCCGUGCGAGAAAGAAGAUUGCGGAGGAGAAGAAGAGGAAGAUGGAGGAGGAGCAGAGGAAGCGGGACUAUGAACGCCUUCAAGGCCUAGAAGCAAGUCAAGCGGAAUUGGCAGUCAAAUUCCAGCGGCAGCAGGAGCAGAUCGACUGA
This 351-nucleotide ribosomal RNA is filed under the name Triticum aestivum (bread wheat). Its description in RNAcentral is "partial small subunit ribosomal RNA". Lineage: Eukaryota; Viridiplantae; Streptophyta; Magnoliopsida; Poales; Poaceae. The record is from RNAcentral.